UGAGAAAAUGGUGUCUGACAUGAAAGUGCGGAAGAAGCAAAGGGAGAAGGACCUUCUCUAUAAAGGUGAGAACACCUGAGACCCACUGAAAGCAGUCCCACCAUGUGGAUGCAGCUCUACACUGUCCAAGCUCAAGGGAGAAAGCAGAGAACUGCUGAAGGAUGGCAGCUGCUCUACACUGAGCACUCAAGGUAGUUUUGUACAUAAAGCAAUAUGUAAAAUUUAGGCAUUUCGUUCUCAUUUUACUUAGAAUUUAAGUGCAAACCCACAAUGGUGAUAAUUCAGCGUGAGAUUCUUCUAGCCAUGUAAAUAGUUGCUCCAGUUGUUGUUAAUUUCCCAAGCAGAUUAUCUGUGUCUCUUUAACAUGGACAUAUAAUUUCUUAGCUUCAAUUAUGUUGUUUCAAUACAUACACCAAAGAUAAUUCUCCCUAAUUAUUACCUUGAGCACAUGGCUGCAGAUGCUGUUUAUGUAUUUUAUUUUUGUUUCUGUAAGGAAAUCUGCACUAGUCCUAAAUUUUGAAGUGUACUUCAUUUUCUGGGGUUCUAAUAAAUUAGUCAGCCUACAGCUUUCAUGUGUCAGGAGAUGAGGGCUGUGGUGACUUCGUGGUUGCAGAACCCUCUUUAAAAUUAACUUGGGAGAAAAAUAGGACCCAACCCUGAAAUAAAUUAACUGGAGUAAUUCCAGGCACCUGCAAGUGCUGUGUGUAACUAUCCGAUGUCUGUGGCUGAUGUUUAUAGCUAGAGAAACAGGUUUCUCUUUGGAAUGGUGUUAACCAGCUGACGGCUCUGAAGCCCAACAGUGGUGGAGUGCGCAGGUGAUGGCCUUUUCUUCUGUGGUCUCUUCAGCAAAGACUUCUGAUUCCCUGAGCAGGAGGCUGUCCCUCGUGCUCUGUGCCCAUUGUAGGGAUGUCCUGCAGCAACAAAUGCUACCUUGGGUGGUCUUCAGUCUUCCUUGAGGCUGGGAAGGGGAGGAGGCUUGAUGUGAGAUGUGAUGUUACACCGAGAUUCAGGCCUGCAGGAGGCUGCUGUGGAACAAGAAGAAACAGUGUUUUUCUGCAUUCAUAGAAUCACCAACGUUGGAAAAGACCUCUAAGAUCCUCCAGUCCAAUCAUCCACCUAUCACCAACACUGCCCGCUAAUCCAUGUCCCUCAGUUUAGUUUGCAGAAGUUUCUCUAGAAGAAGUGUAGAGUCUUGGAUGGGAAACGAGUGCUGCUUGCCUGAGUGUGCAUCCAUGACCCCAGGGACAUCUUGGUGAUGGGCUGAAAACGACAGCUACAAUCAAGGAGGAGGAGAUCUUCCCACAUGGGAUGUUCCAUCAUACCCACUCUUCUGCCACGGCUCAUGUUGGCACUCCUGGCUAAUUGUGCAGGGGAUCUUUGUAGGGAAAAUCUGUAAGAUCAAGCAUCUGCUGUGAGAAAAGGACCAAAAGGAGCUGAAACAGCAGCUAAAUACAAUAAAUUGUUCUGUGAAUGGUAGGGUUCACAAAGUCUGGUUUCCAAAGGAUUUAUAUCCCCUACACAGGCAUCUGUUCUUCUUCAGCCUCUUAUGGUCCUUAGCUGCAUGCAAGGCAGGAGACAGCCUCCAGUUUGAACUGUUUAAUUAUAAUAAUUUUGAGCUGUUCAUGGGCUCGACAGCUCACGUGCUGUCUGGUCAGCCAGAAGGACAAACAGAACAGAUAAAGGCUAUAGCCUAUAAGAGAAAGAACUUCAGAUUUUCUUUCCUCUAUCCAAUCAUUGUUCUUCACAAAACAUGCCAUUAUUUUGUAUCUUUGAUUUUUAGCUGUCAGAGUUGGUAGAAAAUAGCUGCUGGACAGACAGACAGCAAUCAUACAAGCCCUGAACCUUCAGGAAUUCAGGCAACGAGUUGGAUUGCAUUUUGCAUUUCAAUGGAGAUGCAUCUGGAUGGAGUCACAUCCAUCAUGCUGCCCUCAAGUCUGUGUGCAUGGCCCAUAAUAUUUCACAAAGUUUUCCAUCAGCUUCCAACAGCUUGUUAAACAAGAUAAUCCUGGCUGCAUACUUCCUACAAAUGUUUCCAUUCAUAGAUCUGGCACAUGUUUCUCCUCGUUAGAGUCAACGCUGCUGAUUCAGAUAUCAAUUCUGUCAUCAGCAAAGUGAAGGGCAUCUUUAAGUUAAACUAAUUAAUCAGAAACACAAAAGACUCUUAAUGUGAGUUACUGACACAUGGUAACUUCAGAGAGAAAGCUGUUUUCUGACUCUGAAGAACAUUUUUGGAAUUUGGCUCCUAGCCUAUAAUUUUUUGUCUUCCUGUUGGAUGAUUUUUUUCAGACCUAUCCAAAAAGAAUCUUCAUUUUGUUGGUAAAUAUUUACCUAUUAGCACCAUUUUGCAAAAACAAAUAUAAUACUUUUAGGGAAAAUUAAGAUGAUGAUUUUGGAUUCCCAGUGGCCUAAUGCUGAAUUCUGUCCAAGAUCUGACUUCGAUAAACUUUGUUUGAAAUUCAAAUGUUAUUUAUUAUGUUUGGAAGGAACUGCUCAGGAGGAAUUGAAAAUAAGGACAGGGAAUUACUAGCAUGGAAUACUGGGGUUAAAAAGGAGGGAUCAGGAGGGAGACAAUCAUCUUGAUCCAACCAAUAUUUGUCCCUAGGUUAAACAUGGGAUUUCCUUUAAGCUGUAACCCGUUACAGACAGUGACACCAUGCACUUUCUGUUGGUGGAUUUGUAGAUUUUGAGCUGAGCCUUCUAACGGUGAGACUCCUUGCAUGUCAAGCAUAAACUUAAGCAGAAAUACACCAUACCAGGACUGGGGCAUUGAUAUUAAAAAAAAUAUAUAUAUAUAUAUUAAAAGGAGAAAGAAAACAUUCCCUAUUACCUAUAUACUUGUAAUUAUGUGUCUCUAGGGUGAUGAAAGGUAAUUUUUCAUUCCAGUGUGAGUGUUGUAGUGUAUGUGCUGUAUGGCUAUGUGGGUGGAGAUGCUUUGUGAGCAUGUAUGUUUUGCUUUCUGCAUGCUUAUGCAACAGCUUAUUACUUGAAUAGAGGAAUCUGGGGAAACAGAGAUUGCAGGUUCCCUCACUGGUGCUUCUGAAACCGCUGCAGAAACCUCGCACCUCCUCUGAGAGACAGGGAAGAAGGGAGCAGAUUGGCAUGGCCCUGUGCUCCCUGAUGUUAAAGUUGCCAUCAUCUGAUUUACUUCCUAAAACUGGAA
Meleagris gallopavo (turkey) is the source of this 3160-nucleotide non-coding RNA. The record is from RefSeq and is a predicted model, not a curated record. Lineage: Eukaryota; Metazoa; Chordata; Aves; Galliformes; Phasianidae.